RNAcentral lists this ribosomal RNA (427 nucleotides) under uncultured bacterium. Its description in RNAcentral is "bacterial SSU rRNA". It matches the Rfam family "Bacterial small subunit ribosomal RNA", at positions 355 to 792 of the family's 1533-position model. The record is from RNAcentral.
UGGGGAAUAUUGCACAAUGGGGGGAACCCUGAUGCAGCGACGCCGCGUGGGGGAUGACGGCCUUCGGGUUGUAAACCUCUUUCAGUAGGGAAGAAGCCUUUGGGUGACGGUACCUGCAGAAGAAGUACCGGCUAACUACGUGCCAGCAGCCGCGGUAAUACGUAGGGUACAAGCGUUGUCCGGAAUUAUUGGGCGUAAAGAGCUCGUAGGUGGUUUGUCGCGUCUGCUGUGGAAUCGUGCCGCUUAACGGUGCGCGUGCAGUGGGUACGGGCAGACUGGAGUGCAGUAGGGGAGUCUGGAAUUCCUGGUGUAGCGGUGAAAUGCGCAGAUAUCAGGAGGAACACCGGUGGCGAAGGCGGGACUCUGGGCUGUUACUGACGCUGAGGAGCGAAAGCAUGGGGAGCGAACAGGAUUAGAUACCCUGGUA